UACGAAGGGGCUAGCGUUGCUCGGAAUUACUGGGCGUAAAGCGCACGUAGGCGGCUUUCUAAGUCGGGGGUGAAAUCCUGGAGCUCAACUCCAGAACUGCCUUCGAUACUGGAGAGCUUGAGUCCGGGAGAGGUGAGUGGAACUGCGAGUGUAGAGGUGAAAUUCGUAGAUAUUCGCAAGAACACCAGUGGCGAAGGCGGCUCACUGGCCCGGUACUGACGCUGAGGUGCGAAAGCGUGGGAGCAACA
Molecule: ribosomal RNA, 248 nt
Filed under: uncultured bacterium
Lineage: Bacteria
Description: partial 16S ribosomal RNA
Rfam family: Bacterial small subunit ribosomal RNA
Source: RNAcentral